RNAcentral lists this ribosomal RNA (425 nucleotides) under uncultured bacterium. RNAcentral describes it as "partial 16S ribosomal RNA". It matches the Rfam family "Bacterial small subunit ribosomal RNA", at positions 354 to 796 of the family's 1533-position model. The record is from RNAcentral.
GUGGGGAAUAUUGGGCAAUGGGGGAAACCCUGACCCAGCAACGCCGCGUGAAGGAAGAAGGUUUUCGGAUCGUAAACUUCUAUCCUUGGUGAAGAUAAUGACGGUAGCCAAGAAGGAAGCCCCGGCUAACUACGUGCCAGCAGCCGCGGUAAUACGUAGGGGGCAAGCGUUGUCCGGAAUGAUUGGGCGUAAAGGGCGCGUAGGCGGCCUGGUAAGUCUGGAGUGAAAGUCCUGCUUUUAAGGUGGGAAUUGCUUUGGAUACUGUCGGGCUUGAGUGCAGGAGAGGGAAGCGGAAGUCCCGGUGUAGCGGUGAAAUGCGUAGAGAUCGGGAGGAACACCAGUGGCGAAGGCGGCUUACUGGACUGUAACUGACGCUGAGGCGCGAAAGUGUGGGGAGCAAACAGGAUUAGAUACCCUAGUAGUCC